RNAcentral lists this ribosomal RNA (769 nucleotides) under Clostridium aciditolerans. Its description in RNAcentral is "bacterial SSU rRNA". It matches the Rfam family "Bacterial small subunit ribosomal RNA", at positions 161 to 945 of the family's 1533-position model. Lineage: Bacteria; Bacillati; Bacillota; Clostridia; Eubacteriales; Clostridiaceae. The record is from RNAcentral.
GAUUAAUACCGCAUAACAUUAGUUUUUCGCAUGGAGAACUAAUUAAAGGAGUAAUCCGCUUUGAGAUGGACCCGCGGCGCAUUAGCUAGUUGGUGAGGUAAAGGCUCACCAAGGCGACGAUGCGUAGCCGACCUGAGAGGGUGAUCGGCCACAUUGGAACUGAGACACGGUCCAGACUCCUACGGGAGGCAGCAGUGGGGAAUAUUGCACAAUGGGCGAAAGCCUGAUGCAGCAACGCCGCGUGAGUGAUGAAGGCCUUCGGGUUGUAAAGCUCUGUCUUUUGGGACGAUAAUGACGGUACCAAAGGAGGAAGCCACGGCUAACUACGUGCCAGCAGCCGCGGUAAUACGUAGGUGGCGAGCGUUGUCCGGAUUUACUGGGCGUAAAGGAUGCGUAGGCGGAUUUUUAAGUGAGAUGUGAAAUACCCGGGCUUAACUUGGGUGCUGCAUUUCAAACUGGAAGUCUAGAGUGCGGGAGAGGAGAGUGGAAUUCCUAGUGUAGCGGUGAAAUGCGUAGAGAUUAGGAAGAACACCAGUGGCGAAGGCGACUCUCUGGACCGUAACUGACGCUGAGGCAUGAAAGCGUGGGUAGCAAACAGGAUUAGAUACCCUGGUAGUCCACGCCGUAAACGAUGAGUACUAGGUGUAGGAGGUAUCGACCCCUUCUGUGCCGCAGUUAACACAAUAAGUACUCCGCCUGGGAAGUACGAUCGCAAGAUUAAAACUCAAAGGAAUUGACGGGGGCCCGCACAAGCAGCGGAGCAUGUGGU